RNAcentral lists this ribosomal RNA (311 nucleotides) under uncultured Chloroflexota bacterium. Its description in RNAcentral is "bacterial SSU rRNA". It matches the Rfam family "Bacterial small subunit ribosomal RNA", at positions 28 to 351 of the family's 1533-position model. Lineage: Bacteria; Bacillati; Chloroflexota. The record is from RNAcentral.
GAUGAACGCUGGCGGCGUGCCUAAUACAUGCAAGUCGAACGGUCCGCAAGGAUAGUGGCGAACGGGUGAGUAACGCGUUGGUGACCUGCCCUGAAGUGGGGGAUAACAGAACGAAAGUUCUGCUAAUACCGCAUAAUCUCCGGAUAGUUAGAGAGUCUGGAGGAAAGCCGAAAGGCGCUAAAGGAGGGACCUGCGUCCCAUCAGCUAGUUGGUGAGGUAACGGCCCACCAAGGCGAUGACGGGUAGGGGACCUGAGAGGGUGACCCCCCACAAUGGAACUGAAACACGGUCCAUACACCUACGGGUGGCAG